CUGGGAGGGGUGUCACAGCGUGAAGGAGGUGCUGAGUGAGAGGACAGUUUAUGUUGAAGAAUGUAUCACUGUGUUAUGUGUUUGGCUCCGGGACCCAGCUGACCGUCACAGGUCAGCCCAAGUCUGCACCCUCAGUCACUCUCUUCCCACCGUCCUCUGAGGAGAUCACUGAGGCCAAAAAGGCCACACUGGUGUGUCUGAUGAACGACUUCUAUCCCGGCUCUGUGACGGUGACCUGGAAGGCAGAUGGCACCCCCAUCAACCAGGGCAUAGAGACCACCAAGCCGUCCAAACAGAGCAACAACAAGUAUGCGGCCAGCAGCUACCUGAGCUUGACGCCCGCCAAGUGGCAAUCUCACCGUGAGAUCACCUGCCAGGUCACGCACGAAGGCAGCACCGUGGAGAAGACAGUGGGCCCUUCAGAGUGUUCUUAGGGCCCUUAGGUGCCACCAAAGGCAUCAUCCUCACCUCAACACCCACACCCUUUCCCCGGAUCUCCAGUGUUCCCUGAGUCUGCUAUAAGUCUGGACUCCCUCUUUCAUAUAACUACUAUCCCUCAAUAAAAAUAA
Sorex araneus (European shrew) is the source of this 569-nucleotide non-coding RNA. NCBI's taxonomy places the organism in Eukaryota, Metazoa, Chordata, Mammalia, Eulipotyphla, Soricidae. The record is from the annotation of a RefSeq genome assembly.